GGAGUCGUAGCUCAAUUAGGCAGAGCACUGGCCUGUCUAGCCAGGGGUUGCGGGUUCAAGGCCCGUCGACUUCGCCA
Molecule: transfer RNA, 77 nt
Filed under: subsurface metagenome
Description: tRNA-Asp
Rfam family: tRNA
About the family: Transfer RNA (tRNA) molecules are approximately 80 nucleotides in length. Their secondary structure includes four short double-helical elements and three loops (D, anti-codon, and T loops).
Source: RNAcentral